AGCGGAGGAAAAGAAACCAACGAUUGCCCUAGUAACGGCGAGUGAAGCGGCAACAGCUCAAAUUUGAAAUCUGGCUCUUUCAGAGUCCGAGUUGUAAUUUGCAGAGGGCGCUUUGGCUUUGGCAGCGGUCCAAGUUCCUUGGAACAGGACGUCACAGAGGGUGAGAAUCCCGUACGUGGUCGCUAGCUAUUGCCGUGUAAAGCCCCUUCGACGAGUCGAGUUGUUUGGGAAUGCAGCUCUAAAUGGGAGGUAAAUUUCUUCUAAAGCUAAAUAUUGGCCAGAGACCGAUAGCGCACAAGUAGAGUGAUCGAAAGAUGAAAAGCACUUUGGAAAGAGAGUCAAACAGCACGUGAAAUUGUUGAAAGGGAAGCGCUUGCAGCCAGACUUGCUUGCAGUUGCUCAUCCGGGCUUUUGCCCGGUGCACUCUUCUGCAGGCAGGCCAGCAUCAGUUUGGGCGGUGGGAUAAAGGUCUCUGUCAUGUACCUCUCUUCGGGGAGGCCUUAUAGGGGAGGCGACAUACCACCAGCCUAGACUGAGGUCCGCGCAUCUGCUAGGAUGCUGGCGUAAUGGCUGUAAGCGGCCCGUCUU
Molecule: ribosomal RNA, 588 nt
Filed under: Exserohilum rostratum
Lineage: Eukaryota; Fungi; Ascomycota; Dothideomycetes; Pleosporales; Pleosporaceae
Description: partial large subunit ribosomal RNA
Rfam family: Eukaryotic large subunit ribosomal RNA
Source: RNAcentral